CAGCCGCCGCGGGAAUACAGAGGAUGCAAGCGUUAUCCGGAAUGAUUGGGUGUAAAGCGUCUGUAGGUGGCUUUUCAAGUCCGCCAUCAAAUCCCCGGGCUCAACCCUGGACAGGCAGUGGAAGCUACCAAGCUGGAGUACGGUAGGGGCAGAGGGAAUUUCCGGUGGAGAGGUGAAAUGCGUUGAGAUUGGAAAAAACACCAACGGUGAAAGCGCUCUGCUGGGCCGACACUGACACUGAGAGACGAAAUCUAGGGGAGCAAAUGGGAUUAGAUACCCCUGUAGUCCCUGUCUCUUAUAC
Molecule: ribosomal RNA, 301 nt
Filed under: uncultured bacterium
Lineage: Bacteria
Description: partial 16S ribosomal RNA
Rfam family: Bacterial small subunit ribosomal RNA
Source: RNAcentral